RNAcentral lists this ribosomal RNA (253 nucleotides) under uncultured bacterium. Its description in RNAcentral is "partial 16S ribosomal RNA". It matches the Rfam family "Bacterial small subunit ribosomal RNA", at positions 524 to 776 of the family's 1533-position model. The record is from RNAcentral.
UACGUAGGGGGCAAGCGUUGUCCGGAUUUAUUGGGCGUAAAGAGCGUGUAGGCGGCCACACAGGUCUGCUGUGAAAACUCGAGGCUCAACCUCGAGCUGUCGGUGGAAACCGUGUGGCUAGAGUCCGGAAGAGGAGAGUGGAAUUCCCGGUGUAGCGGUGAAAUGCGCAGAUAUCGGGAGGAACACCGGUGGCGAAGGCGGUUCUCUGGGCCUGUACUGACGCUGAGGAGCGAAAGCGUGGGGAGCGAACAGG